AAUGAACGCUGGCGGCAUGCCUAACACAUGCAAGUCGAACGAAGGCUUCGGCCUUAGUGGCGCACGGGUGCGUAACGCGUGGGAAUCUGCCCUUGGGUUCGGAAUAACAGUUAGAAAUGACAGCUAAUACCGGAUGAUGUCGUAAGACCAAAGAUUUAUCGCCCAAGGAUGAGCCCGCGUAGGAUUAGCUAGUUGGUGGGGUAAAGGCCUACCAAGGCGACGAUCCUUAGCUGGUCUGAGAGGAUGAUCAGCCACACUGGGACUGAGACACGGCCCAGACUCCUACGGGAGGCAGCAGUGGGGAAUAUUGGACAAUGGGCGAAAGCCUGAUCCAGCAAUGCCGCGUGAGUGAUGAAGGCCUUAGGGUUGUAAAGCUCUUUUACCCGGGAUGAUAAUGACAGUACCGGGAGAAUAAGCUCCGGCUAACUUCGUG
This 433-nucleotide ribosomal RNA is filed under the name uncultured bacterium. RNAcentral's name for it is "partial 16S ribosomal RNA". It matches the Rfam family "Bacterial small subunit ribosomal RNA", at positions 29 to 507 of the family's 1533-position model. The record is from RNAcentral.